RNAcentral lists this small RNA (28 nucleotides) under Bombyx mori (domestic silkworm). RNAcentral's name for it is "ovarian small RNA-27178". The record is from RNAcentral. Lineage: Eukaryota; Metazoa; Arthropoda; Insecta; Lepidoptera; Bombycidae.
UCCCAGUCGAUCCCACUCUGCCAAAUGC